UCCUACGGGGGGCAGCAGUGAGGAAUAUUGGUCAAUGGGCGGGAGCCUGGACCAGCCAAGUCGCGUGAGGGACGACGGUCCUAUGGAUUGUAAACCUCUUUUGUCGGGGAACAAAGGCGUCCACGGGUGGGCGGAUGAGUGUACCCGAAGAAAAAGCAUCGGCUAACUCCGUGCCAGCAGCCGCGGUAAUACGGAGGAUGCGAGCGUUAUCCGGAUUUAUUGGGUUUAAAGGGUGCGUAGGCGGACAGUCAAGUCAGCGGUAAAAAUGCGGUGCUCAACGCUGUACAGCCGUUGAAACUGGCAGU
This 305-nucleotide ribosomal RNA is filed under the name uncultured bacterium. RNAcentral's name for it is "bacterial SSU rRNA". It matches the Rfam family "Bacterial small subunit ribosomal RNA", at positions 337 to 640 of the family's 1533-position model. The record is from RNAcentral.